UUUCCAUGGCAACACCCUGAUGGCCGAAAGUUACUACCCUUAUUCCAGAAAUCUCUGCAUAAUCUGUCGGUUUGCAUAUAAUUAACAGUGGCUAUAAAUGUGAGUGCAGCCCUGUCCUGUCCUCAGCUGCUGCCCUGGGCGCACUGCCUUGCGGGUCACUGUGGCUGCUCCUGUGCUUCAGCGGGACUAGAAGCUGCCGCCCACGGGCAGCGGGGAAGAAAUCUGGGCAAAGCCAUGAGCCCUCCGAGGCUGAGCUCCAGUUUAGGGGCUCACCUGCCUUGCAUCGUUCCGAGUCCUGUACUGGACUGCAUCAGGCCGCGUCUCCUCAGGGUGACAGAAACCAGGCAGUGAUUCAACUCGUAUUUGACUUUCACAUUCUCCAGCAAUGUUCUUCAAUCUGGGAAGGGUAGAAAAUUAAAGAAAGGUCAAGGCCUCUGGGCCCCCAGGACAGAGGACAGAAGAGCCAGCCCCUCAAACAAAGAUGAGAACUCACGUGCAAAUGACUGCAUUCUCAAAGACAUUGCUGGACAUGUGCGAUGCUUAUCCUUCAUUUCUGCUAAUGGGAUCUUGGUUCCUGGCCAGCACCCGGCCUCUCUGCACCUCAUAGACACUGCAAAUCCUUACUCAGUGACUUCAGGGAUACAGGAUCCGUAACAAGAGGGGAAAUUGAAGUCUGGUCCUAUGAAGCUCUCACGGUUACAAGUUUUCAAACUAAAGAUUUUCUAAGAAAUAUUUUCUUACAAAUAACCCCUUCUGUUACAUAAGGGCUUGACCUGAUUUAUUAAAACUAUCCUGACUCUCUGGCGAGGAAGGGUGGGAACUGCUGAAGGUGCCUCUUCCAAAGGUUUCCAGGGUCCUUCUCUCGGAUGGAGCCUGUCCAACUGCACUCUGGGGAAGGGAGAGAAACAGGAAGGCGUCGCCUUCACGCUCCGGUCACUCAGGAAGGUGGCUGUGCAUGCCUGAGAGCUUGCACCGGGGUGGAGGUAGCCACGGUCCCGAGACACGCCCUCUGCCCACACCUCCCUACCAGCCUGGCCAGACGCCUGGGGUGCCCAGUCGUCUUCAUGGUGGCAGCUGCAGAAGUAAUGACAACUCAUGGGCAUUUGGAGAACGCACCAGGCCCACGCUCAACAUUGCAUUUGAUUCCUGCGAGCGCUCAACAAGGGAAGCACCAGACAGAUGCUGAAAUUUAGGCAUGGCAGCACUGCUUUGCCUCCCUUGGCAGCACAGGGCUGCAGAAGGACUCAGAAUUGCGGGGAACCCUCUGCCUCAAGGCGCUCCACCAGGACACAGACACCCCCUCAGCGGCCCCUCUGCUUUUUCUUCAGAAUCUGAUACAUCUGGCCUGGACGGGAGAUGGUGCCCUCGGGCGCCAGAGUGUGGGGUCCUCUUCACAGCCACUCCCACCCCAAUUCCUGAUCUUCCGAGUUUCCUGGCUCACAGUGUUCCUUGUUCUCAAACCGCUCGCUUCACUGCUUCCGAUUCAACUUCAUUACCUAAAGUGAGAGAUACAGCUUCUUUCUUUCCCUCUCAGGAUCAAUGACUCGGUUUUAGGUCACCAUGGAGAGGGGAUUCAGAGCUCACGCAUCCGCCACACUUGAUUUCAGGAGAUGAGUGGCUGCGAGUCACCCUGCUGUGAGCCGCCAUGGUCCCCUGGUGAAUUGCCCAGGCCAAACGCCAUGGCCUCACCUGCUCACGGGCAAAGCAGCUGCCAGCUUAAAUGGUAAGAAAUUAGUAAAGGAAGGAAGGAAGGAGGGAAGAAGCCGGAAGGGAGAGCACGUCUCCGUCCCUCGAUGACGGCAUCAGGACACACCACGUCGGAGACUUCAGCUGCCAGAUGAGCACGGCCUAUUAGGGCCUCGUCCGGUCCCCGCUUAUCCAAGGGUGGUUAAGACCAAAUUCCUUCCCCAUAAUUAAACAGCAUGUAGACACAUACAAAAAUACCGCAGAAGAACUACACCACUGGGUCAAAACACAUGCCAGAACAAUAUUUCAUUUUAAAAGACAACAUAAAUGUCAACAUUUAAAAAGCCUGCCACAUAAGGUGAAAAACAAAACCUGUUGUGUACUGACUAGUCUCAGAACUCCUUGGCAGUUUUAUCUUUUCCAGAAAACUCUGUCUUCAAACCCCAAGACCUGUCUCCUUGUGGCAUCCUCCACAGGCUUGGUCUACAGCAUGCAUCCUCAGGGGAUUCUUCCAGGCUUACCUGGCCACGAUCCCCAGCACAGAACAGCUCAAGAUCACCGUCUACCCCCAUCUGCCAGAGCAAAUCUAUUUUCCACCAAGAGCAGGACUGUCGGCUGUCAGUCACCAAGGACACCCAGGUUGAUAGUUGGAGGCGACCAGCACAUUCUGAUGAAGUAGGUGAUGGUGCCUGCCCCAGGACCUGUGUGCACUGCAACAGGCAGCCUGCAGGGCGUGUGCCAGAGGCCAGGGCCUGAGCAACAGACACAGCGCUGCCCAGUGGGCCCUGCACCCUUGCAGUGAGGGGCAGCCUCAACCAACGAAAACACCACACACUAAGUCCUAGUUUCCAUCUAAGAAGUGUUUUCUGGAACUUUAAGCAACAUUUUAUUUCCACAGAUGUGGGGAAAAGGGAACCCUAUGGUGCAUAAUUAUUAACUUACUUUAGGGUCCUGUUUCUGGACUCAGUGGACUCAAGUGUAGCCAGGUCCAAUCUGUGCACUUGCCUCUGGAAUGUUCUGCCAACACCCUUUCCCCAGUUUUGCUGGGGAAGGCUGCAGGCAAGGAGAGGAGGCUAUUCCUGGCCCUGACCCAGGAGGAGAGACGGGAAAGGAAUGAGCAGACUUGAGCUUAAAUUUUCAUUGGAAGUAUUUAAGAAACACCUCAUGUUGGUCCUGGUUCUCUAUUAUUUCUCUCUAUUAAAAAUACCACCCCAAGUAAUCUGUACUCACUAUAGAAAAACUGGAAGUAAAAGUAAUAAUUAAAAAAAUCCCUGAAGCCAUAACUCACUCUUCUAUUACUAUAGUCAGCAUUUGCUGUGCCUCGUCCAACAAGCUGGGGUCGCCUCAGGAAAGAAGACUCUACCGUGCCCACUGCCCUCCCUCCAAGUCCUCCUCCUGUGGCGUCCCUCGUCGGGUAGUGCUGCCUUUUGGGAAGUCACUCUGGGUGGGGGUCUCCACCCUCCUGGGAAGUCUCCGGAACAGAAAGCAGGAGACACCGGCGCAUCCAGGCCCCAUCCCUCCCCGAAUUCACGGGCAGCCAGCAGGGGGCGCCACAGCAGCGCAGCAACAGGCACCCGGUUGCCGGCAUCACCGGCCCACGCUCGUUCCCUGUGCAUUUUGUUUAAAAUUUUUGAGAGAAAAUUUACAUAACAUAAAAUUAACCAUUUUAAAGUGUACAACUCAGUAGCUUUAGCGUGUUCACAAUAGAGUGGAACCAUUACCGCUAAUUACAGCACAUUUCCAUCACCCUAAAAGAAAAAGUCCGUUUCUCCCAAUGCCUUCCUCUCCUCAGCCCCACACCCAUUAAUCUACUUUCUGUCUCUGUGGAUUUUCCUGCCCUGGACACUUCAUAUAAAUGGAAUCUUACAACACGUG
This 3561-nucleotide long non-coding RNA is filed under the name Homo sapiens (human). RNAcentral describes it as "long non-coding RNA NONHSAT178130.1". Lineage: Eukaryota; Metazoa; Chordata; Mammalia; Primates; Hominidae. The record is from RNAcentral.